CGGGGAUCGCGGACUCCCCGGUUCAAGACGCGCCGCGUCCAAGUUCUGC
Non-coding RNA from Betaproteobacteria bacterium RIFCSPLOWO2_02_67_12, 49 nucleotides. The record is from Rfam. Lineage: Bacteria; Pseudomonadati; Pseudomonadota; Betaproteobacteria.